This 72-nucleotide transfer RNA is filed under the name Dipodomys ordii (Ord's kangaroo rat). It matches the Rfam family "tRNA". Rfam says of the family: Transfer RNA (tRNA) molecules are approximately 80 nucleotides in length. The record is from Rfam by way of RNAcentral. Lineage: Eukaryota; Metazoa; Chordata; Mammalia; Rodentia; Heteromyidae.
GUGAAUAUGGCUUAGUGGUAGAGUGCUUGCCUAGCAUGCAGGAAGCCCUGGGUUCAAUUCCUCAGCACCACA